This is a long non-coding RNA of Ictidomys tridecemlineatus (thirteen-lined ground squirrel), 3824 nucleotides long. RefSeq lists it as uncharacterized. Lineage: Eukaryota; Metazoa; Chordata; Mammalia; Rodentia; Sciuridae. The record is from RefSeq and is a predicted model, not a curated record.
GUGUGUGGAGUGCACAGUGGGAGCUCUCGGGAGCUGGCCUCUGGGGAGCCCCAGUGGCAGAUGUCCCUCCCCGUGGUCAAGCACUGGUGAGGCUAGACCCUCGGGAAGAGUCUGGAAAAGACGUGAGUUUCAGGGUAAGGGCGGGUUCAGACCCUGGCCCAGGGCUGCAGGAAGGAGGGUGAAGCACUGAGGCACAGAGCCCGUCAGUUUCCUAGGCCGCUGCGCCACAGAACCACAAGCCCCUGACCUUGCACUCCUGCAGGACACAAGGCCAGCGCCUCGGAGGGCAGGGCCCCUGGGGCUGUGGGCAGCCUGCUCGCCCAGGGCUCGCCCUUCCUCUGUCUUGACAGGGUCUCCGCCUCACCCUCCUCUCCUGCCUCUUCCUCCUCUGUCUCUGUGAUCCCAAGGCCACCAAGAAAUCUCUCCAUGUCGACCUGAGCCCCCUGCAGACCUCCUUGUGCCAUGUGAGGCACAUUCUCCAGCUUUAACAUGGGCCACCACCAGAAUGCCUCCCAGUGACAGUCCUGGCAGGGACCGCCUCCAGUGUUCUGAGCACUUAGGGAUUCUGGCCAUCCUGCUCAUGGUCCAAGUGGUGGCCUUUUACAGAGGCCGAGCUUCAGCCUCCCGACAGCUUCCUCCUGCAGCUGCUGGUGACCAGUGGCCUGGAGAUUGCCUACAGGAGCACGCCCUCACCAGCCUCCACCCGGUGUCUGUCACCCACCAGACUCCAGCUGAGCCCGGGCCACCACCCAGUGCAGCAGACAGAGCCGGACCUCCCACGUGUGCGGUAACAGGCUGCACCAGGCAGUGCCGGGCCACAGGAGACCACUUGUCCCUCUGUUUGGAAAGGUUAGGAAGAUUUCCCAGAGGGGGGGACAUUUAAGCGGAGACUUGAAGGUGAAGAAUGAGGAGGAUUUUUAUCAUGUGCAGGAGGCUGGGGCAGGCGGGGAGGACAGAUCCAGCAGAUGAAAUUUCCAAUGCAAAAGUGCGUGAGAGAGAGUGAGGGGGAGACGGGAACAGAGAGACAAAGAGAGGAGAAAGGAAGGGAGAGAAGACAAAGUGAUUAAAGAGAGAGACAGAGAGAAGAGACAGAGGCAGAAAGAGAACAAAGGCGGAGAAAGGGACAGACAUAGAACCAAAGAGACAGAGCCACAGAGAGCCAGAGACGCCCAGAGACCUGGAGUGCGAGACAGCGACGUGGACAGACGCAGAGACAGAGGAGCGGGAGACAGACGGACGGCAGAGUACCCCAGGGAGAAUGGCAGCCAAGUGCUCAGAGAUGGAAGAAGGCAAGGGGCGAGAGGGCAGCGGAGGCCCCUGCAGAAGUCCUAGGCGGGAGGAGAGCCGGGAGGCAGCCGCACCUGGGCUGGCACGAGCGUCUGAGCAUCCUGCGUGGGGCAGGCAGGGCACUUUGGUGCAGAGUGCCAGUCGACGGAGACCUGUCAAUGCUGCUGUUGCUGCUGACCAGCUGUGCACCCUUGGGGUUGCUUCUUGGCUUCCUGGAGGCUCACCUUCCUCACCUGGUAAUGGGCUAGAGCAGUCAUCUCUAGUCCUCAAGAUUCCAGGAGGGGUGGCUGACCCUGCCCCAGAGCUUUCCAGGUGUAGCAGUGCCCGAGUGUGUGGGGGGGGGCAUCCUGGGUCCUGAAGUCUUCUCUCCCCUCUCAGACCCAGCCAGUGGGCGCUAACCGCAGAUGGCAGGGGAACGUGAAGUGACCACAGAACCCCGAGACCUGCACCUCCAGGAAGCCUGGGGAUUGGCAGCGGAGGAGGAGCCGGCAGAGAAACCAGCCCGUUUCCAGAUGGGCAGAGGCAGCUACCCCGGAAGGGUCCGCUCCUGCCCUCCACUCCCUCUAGUCUCAAGAGAAGAUCACAAUCCAACAGAGGAAAGACGCACGCACGGGAGUCCAUCACCUACACCUUGAACAGCCGGAACACCUGAGCAUAGCAAACCAAGCCAGUCAGCUGUGUCCUCGUGUGCUGCACGGUGGAGCCAUUAAAAAACACACUUAUGAAAUGUUGAUGGCCUGAAAGAUCAGUCAUAACAAAAUGCAGGGCAAAAACCAGUGCCUGCUUUCUGGUUUCUGAACCACGAAUAUGAGUCAACCAUUUAGAAUUAAAAAGAAAUAAAAAUAUGAAUUAAUAAUAAUCAUACAUGUGGCUGUAGGCACAUAUGAGUGUACAUGUGCAUCUGUGUGUGAAAGAAAACACACCAGAAUUUCAUAGAUAUUAUCUCUGGGAGGAAGAAUUUUGGAUGAUUGUUACUUUUUUUACAUUUUUACAUAUUUCCAAGUUUUUAUAGUAAACAUGGGUUCGUUUUUUUAUUCAGAAAAUAACUAUAUGAGUAUACACACACAUAUACACACUAAAAUGUGGACAAGCACACACUAAACACGGUGACUCUGAGGUCGUGCCUUGAGCCCUGUGUGGUGUGGACAGCAGCCUCUGGUGGGUGGACUGCGGACCCAACGAGGUGGUAGCUUUCUGGUCAUCCCAAUCCUGUGGACACAGUUGGCCACGGAACAGUGCAAGCUUCCUCCAUCUGCCCCGAGUUGGAAAGUGCUGUGCCCAAUCCACAGCAGAGUCACAGUGUCCCAACAGCAGGCUGCUGUGGUUGGACUGUGUCCCCCAAAUCAAGGGUGGAAACGGGGUUGGGCAGUGGGGCCUUCAGGGGCCUGCUUGGUGGGUCAAGGCUUCUGUGAAGGAACCCGACAGGGAGUUCCGUUCCCUGCCUUCCGCGGUGGGAGGACACAGCCCUCCUCUCCUCCAGCUCAUGCUGGGCUCCAGGCACCAUCUUGGAUGCAGAGAGCAGCCCUCACCAGAUGCUGAAUCUGCUGGCUCCUCCACCUGGCACUUCCCAGCCUCCAGAGCGGGGAGAAAUACAUUUCUACUCUCCUAAGUCACCCAGUCUGGUGGUCUGCUGCGGUGGUCUGCUGCGGUGGCACAGACCAGACUAAGACAUGGCCAGAAGUGUCGUUGUUGUUUUUUUAAUUUUUAAUUUUCUUUUUUUUUAGUUGUGGGUGGACACAUACCUUUAUUUAUUUGUAUGAGGUGCUGAGGAUUGAACCCAGUGCCUCACACGCACAAGUCUUCGCUCUACCACUGAGCCACAACCAGCCCCCAGAAGAGUUCCUUUUACAAUGACCUAUGUGCCUCCCAGGCCCUGGGGCUGGGGAGGGAGAGGAGGGUCUUGCCAGAGAUGGUAGAGACCGCGCUGCGUGCCACCACUCACAGCCGCCCAGCCCUUUGUCUUCCAGGGGGUUCUGUUCCAGGAAAACGCUCCUGAGAAAUUCCCGCUGGACGGCUCAGCUCUGAAGCGUGUAGAGGGGAGGGAGGAGGCAAGAAGAAGGGCCAUCGUCUGCCCGAUGGUGCCUGGGUGGGGUCCACAGAGCACGAAACCAUCUCCAGGUAAAUUCUCGCGACCCUCAUCCCCCGCUCUCCCUGAAAUUCCGCCUGUUUCAUGACGGAAAUGGACCUCAGAGAAAUGCUGCCUUACAUGAAAAGGGCUCAGUAAAUACACUCCUCAAAAUUUUCAUUCUUAAUAUAUCAGUAGCUUUUCAGUUCAUUAUAGUGUUAUUAGUCAGUCUUCAUAAAAGUGCUAUGCAUCUUUAUUAAAAAUGGAAGUUCACAUCAUUUUAUGUUCCCAUAAAAAUGGGUGGUGGUAGCUUUGAUUAAUUUCUUCACAUACAGUGAACUUUACAGCAAAUUGGACAGUGUAAUUCAAUUCCUAUUUCUGCAGAUUUUUUUGUUGGUAGAAAAUUGAUAUCAUUCAUAUGUAAUCAUAUUGCCUUUGCAAGAGAUAUUUAAGAAAUAAUAUCCUGCAGUAA